This is a microRNA precursor of Gallus gallus (chicken), 72 nucleotides long. Lineage: Eukaryota; Metazoa; Chordata; Aves; Galliformes; Phasianidae. The record is from Ensembl.
CUGCUGCCAUAGCACUGAGCACAGGGGAAUUUUAAUUGGCCGCCUUGUGCAAGGUACGUUGGGUUAUUUCGG